UAUUGCUGGCGGCGUGCCUAACACAUGCAAGUCGAGCGAACCUUGGCAGCGUAUCGUCAAGGUGAGCGGCAAACGGGUGAGUAACACGUGGGUAAUCUGCCUUCAAGAGGGGGAUAACCCCGGGAAACCGGGGCUAAUACCGCGUAAGACCACGGUUCCGCAUGGAACUGAGGUUAAACCCCGACGCAAGUCGGGGGCUUGAAGAGGAGCCUGCGGCCUAUCAGCUAGUUGGUGGGGUAACGGCCCACCAAGGCUAAGACGGGUAGCCGGCCUGAAAGGGCGAUCGGCCACACUGGCACUGAGACACGGGCCAGACUCCUACGGGAGGCAGCAGUGAGGAAUUUUGGACAAUGGGGGAAACCCUGAUCCAGCGACGCCGCGUGGAGGACGAAGGUCUUCGGAUUGUAAACUCCUUUUGCAGGGGACGAAUGAGUAUCGUAACCCGAUACAGUGACGGUACCCUGUGAAUAAGCCACGGCUAACUUCGUGCCAGCAGCCGCGGUAAGACGAAGGUGGCUAGCGUUACUCGGAAUUACUAGGCGUAAAGGGCAGGUAGGCGGUUCGGUCAGUCUAUUGUGAAAUCUUCCGGCUUAACUGGAAGGGGUCAAUAGAUACUGCCGGGCUUGAGUGUGUGAGAGGGUGCUGGAAUUCCCGGUGUAGCGGUGAAAUGCGUAGAGAUCGGGAGGAACACCUAUGGCGAAAGCAGGCGCCUGGCACAUUACUGACGCUGAGCUGCGAAAGCUAGGGGAGCAAACAGGAUUAGAUACCCUGGUAGUCCUAGCUGUAAACGAUGUUCACUAGGUGUGGGAGGUAUCGACCCCUUCCGCGCCGACGCAAACGCAUUAAGUGAACCGCCUGGGAAGUACGGCCGCAAGGUUGAAACUCAAAGGAAUUGACGGGGGCCNGCACAAGCGGUGGAGCAUGUGGUUUAAUUCGANGCAACGNGAAGAACCUUACNUGGGCUAGAAAACAUGGAAACNUGGUAGAAAUAUCGGGGUGCUCCUCGGAGAAUCNGUGGUUAGGUGNUGCAUGGNUGUNGUCAGCUCGUGUCGUGAGAUGUUGGGUUAAGUCCCGCAACGAGCGCAACCCCUAUCACUAGUUACCAGCGGGUAAUGNUGGGAACUCUAGUGAGACCGCCGAUAUUCAAAUCGGAGGAAGGUGGGGAUGACGUCAAGUCAUCAUGNCCNUUAUGUCCAGGGCUACACACNUGUUACAAUGGUUGUUNCAAAGCGCUGCAAACCCGCGAGGGGGAGCCAAUCGCAAAAAAACAACCUCAGUACAGAUAAGAGUCUGCAACUCGACUCUUUGAAGUUGGAAUCGCUAGUAAUCCNUGAUCAGCAGGCAGGGGUGAAUACGUUCCCGGGCCUUGUACACNCCGCCCGUCACACCAUGGGAGUCGUUUGCUCCAGAAGUGCCUGCACAAACCCGCAAGGGAUGUAGGUCCCCAAGGAGUGAACGGUAACUGGGGUGAAGUCGUAACAAGGUAGCAAUCACUAGUGCGGCC
Molecule: ribosomal RNA, 1504 nt
Filed under: uncultured bacterium
Lineage: Bacteria
Description: bacterial SSU rRNA
Rfam family: Bacterial small subunit ribosomal RNA
Source: RNAcentral